RNAcentral lists this non-coding RNA (148 nucleotides) under Nomascus leucogenys (northern white-cheeked gibbon). Lineage: Eukaryota; Metazoa; Chordata; Mammalia; Primates; Hylobatidae. The record is from Rfam by way of RNAcentral.
GCUGGGCAUGGUGGCUCAUGCCUGUGGUCCCAGCUACUCAGGAGGCUGAGGCAGGAGGAUUGCUUGAGUCCAGGAGUUGGAGGCUACAGUGAGCUAUGAUGGCACCACUGCACUCCAGCCUAGGCGACAGAGCGAGACUCUGUCUCUA